This 87-nucleotide transfer RNA is filed under the name Candidatus Berkelbacteria bacterium. Its description in RNAcentral is "tRNA-Leu". It matches the Rfam family "tRNA". Rfam says of the family: Transfer RNA (tRNA) molecules are approximately 80 nucleotides in length. Lineage: Bacteria; Candidatus Berkelbacteria. The record is from RNAcentral.
GCCGACGUGGUGGAAUUGGCAGACACGCGUGGUUUAGGACCACGUGCUCGCAAGAGCUUGCAGGUUCAAAUCCUGCCGUCGGCACCA